This 496-nucleotide ribosomal RNA is filed under the name uncultured bacterium. RNAcentral's name for it is "partial 16S ribosomal RNA". It matches the Rfam family "Bacterial small subunit ribosomal RNA", at positions 29 to 507 of the family's 1533-position model. The record is from RNAcentral.
AUGAACGCUGGCGGCGUGCCUAAUACAUGCAAGUCGCGCGAACGGACGAGAAGCUUGCUUCUCUGAUGUUAGCGGCGGACGGGUGAGUAACACGUGGAUAACCUACCUAUAAGACUGGGAUAACUUCGGGAAACCGGAGCUAAUACCGGAUAAUAUUUUGAACCGCAUGGUUCAAAAGUGAAAGACGGUCUUGCUGUCACUUAUAGAUGGAUCCGCGCUGCAUUAGCUAGUUGGUAAGGUAACGGCUUACCAAGGCAACGAUGCAUAGCCGACCUGAGAGGGUGAUCGGCCACACUGGAACUGAGACACGGUCCAGACUCCUACGGAAGGCAGCAGUAGGGAAUCUUCCGCAAUGGGCGAAAGCCUGACGGAGCAACGCCGCGUGAGUGAUGAAGGUCUUCGGAUCGUAAAACUCUGUUAUUAGGGAAGAACAUAUGUGUAAGUAACUGUGCACAUCUUGACGGUACCUAAUCAGAAAGCCACGGCUAACUACGUG